Molecule: ribosomal RNA, 717 nt
Filed under: uncultured Pseudomonadota bacterium
Lineage: Bacteria; Pseudomonadati; Pseudomonadota
Description: bacterial SSU rRNA
Rfam family: Bacterial small subunit ribosomal RNA
Source: RNAcentral
AUUGAACGCUGGCGGUAUGCCUAACACAUGCAAGUCGAACGAGGUAGCAAUACCUGGUGGCGGACGGGUGAGGAAUACGUAGGGAUCUGCCCUUAAGUGGGGGAUAACCCGGGGAAACCCGGAUUAAUACCGCAUGAUCUCGCAAGAGCAAAGAGGGGGACCGCAAGGCCUCUCGCUUUUGGAGGAACCUACGUCGGAUUAGCUAGUUGGUGAGGUAACGGCUCACCAAGGCGACGAUCCGUAACUGGUCUGAGAGGAUGAUCAGUCACACCGGAACUGAGACACGGUCCGGACUCCUACGGGAGGCAGCAGUGGGGAAUAUUGGACAAUGGGCGAAAGCCUGAUCCAGCAAUACCGCGUGUGUGAAGAAGGCCUUCGGGUUGUAAAGCACUUUAAGUUGGGAAGAAAAAGCUUCACCUAAUACGUGGAGCCUUGACGGUACCGACAGAAUAAGCACCGGCUAACUCUGUGCCAGCAGCCGCGGUAAUACAGGGGGUGCUAGCGUUAAUCGGAUUUACUGGGCGUAAAGCGUGCGUAGGCGGUUUGAUAAGUCGAUUGUGAAAGCCCCGGGCUCAACCUGGGAAUUGCGGUCGAUACUGUCAGACUCGAAAACGGUAGAGGGAGGCGGAACUCCAGGUGUAGCGGUGAAAUGCGUAGAUAUCUGGAAGAACACCGAUGGCGAAGGCAACCUCCUGGGCCUGUUUUGACGCUGAGGCA